Molecule: long non-coding RNA, 2229 nt
Organism: Sarcophilus harrisii (Tasmanian devil)
Lineage: Eukaryota; Metazoa; Chordata; Mammalia; Dasyuromorphia; Dasyuridae
Source: Ensembl
AUUUAGUUUAUUUAUUUGCUGAGAUAACCGGGGUCACACAGCCAGGAAGCGUCUGAGACCAGAUCACAACUCGGGUCCUCCUGACCUCAGGGCCGGUGCCCUAUCCCCUGCACCACGCGGCUGCCCUCACAAUUAAGCAUUCACACUUUUCCAGGCACUGUCCUAAAAGGUGGAAAUAGAAAGAAUAGGGAGAAAAAAGAGCCCCGGCCUUGUAGGAGCUCACGUUCUCACAGAGAAGAUGCAGAAGGAAGCUGAGAAGUGACGGGAGGGUGAGGUACUUUUGUGGCUUGGCGGGAAAAGAAGCCUGGGCAGUCGGGAGAGAGCGCGGCCGCCCCGAGCCCUUCCUUAAAACACAAGUUCCCGGUUAUGUAGCCCCCUAAGGGUUUGUGAAGUGUUUCGCACACUUAACGGUCACAGCCCCGGGCGACGAGUCAGGCCCGUGAGGAUUCUGGGAGAGCGUGGGCGGGUGACCGGCCCACGCCACAGAAGCGGCAGAAUCCCGGACGCAGGCUCACUGCUUUGCCCGUUAGGCCGCACUCCUGCUCUGGACUAAUUAAAGGGGCGCAAUCUCGGGAACAGAUCGCAGAAGAACAAAAACCCACAAAGCGUGUUAACAUAUUCGUUACUUUGUGUAUCACUAAAGCAUAGAGCACGCCAAUAACCGAUGAUGGUGGUUAAUUCCCUGCCAACAAGCCGCGCGCUUGCUUUUUCAUAGUUAUAAAACUUGCGGAGGACGGACUGCGCUUGUAUGCCGGCGUCCUGGGCAAAAUGUAAAUAUCUAUGAAGAAGAAACAGGCGCUCGCGCCUUCAGAAUCCCACAAGCGCGCCACGCAGAGAGUGUAAAGCCUCAUUUUUUCUCUUCUGACUAUAAAAACUGUCUGACUCAGACUUCCCCCGCCGGGGCUCGGGCGCAGAAAAGCCGAGAUCGCUGGGGACCCUCGUAGGACAGGGCCAUAAGUGACUGUGCGGUGGCGCUCUGAUCGCCCCCUGCCAACGAGGGAGAAAACGCAGGCCCCCUCGGGCCUCAGCCGCUCCGCGGGGGCCGAGCCUCGCACACCCGCGGACACAAGGGCGCGCCCCGGAGGGCCCGGCGCCCGGCGCAGCUCGCGGAGUUGCCCCGGGGAGGGCGGGGGCGCGCGCGUGCGUGCGCGGGCGGGAGGAAGCGCCGUCGGUGCCCGGAGACCGCCUGCCGGGGCCGUGACCGCCGGGCUCCCGGCCUGGGGAAGGGCGCCGCGCCGGCCCCAAACUCCCCGCCCAGGAAACGCGGCCCUCGCCAAGGGCUGCCGGUCUCGGGCGGCCUCGGGCAGAGCGCGGCGCCGCCUCCGUCCCUGUGCCCCGUCCCUGUGCCGGAGCGGCCGCGCGGGGCGCAGGCCGGGGGCCCCCCGCGGUCCCAGCCCCCACAACCGGCUCAGGAAGGGACCCGCGGGCAUCAACCCCGCGCUGAACAACGGGGGCCGGCCCUGCCUGACUUAGGGGGCAGCGGGAGGGACCGCGAUGCCCAGCGAGAGCCGAGCCGAAGCCGCCCGGCCGCGCUCCUGGAGGUGGCCGGGUCAGGGACAAGCUCCCCCAAGCGGCCAUCCCCGGUGUCCGGUGCCCCCCGAACCCGCGGCCGCCCGGCCAGGAGGGGGCGCUAGGCAGAGACCCGGGCCGCGCGGCCGCUCCCCCUCCCUCGGCUGUAACUGUGUUCUUCACUCAACAUCCCGGGAACGACGGGGGAGAUGGGAGCAGCAGGGGACAGUCCCGUCUCCCCCUGCGAGGCUGCCCUCCCGGCCCCGCCCGGCGCCUCCCCUUCUAACCAUCAGCGCCUCUGCGGGGCCGGAAAGGCCCCUAAAGUCUCGGUCCAAGGAGUCAGCAGUGCUUUGUUCCAGGAGCGCCCACCCUUGCUCCUCAAAGGGGAGGCGCAAAUAAAGAGGCAGCAAGGGAGGGAAGUCAGGCUCGGAGACACUUUUUUAUUCUUGUUGUUACAGCCUUUUAUUUACAGGUAUAUGCACGGGUAACUUUACAGCACUGACAGUUGUCAAGCCUCUUGUUCCAGUUUCCCCUCCUUCCCCCCCCCCCCCCCCCCCCCCCCCGAUGGCAGGAGGACCGAUAAUGUUAAAUAUGUUAAAGUAUAAGUUAGAUACAGUGUAUGUGUGCAUAUGUAUAGUUAUUUCGCUGCACGAGAAAAAUCGGAUCUAAAAAGAAAGAAAAAAACCUGAGGGGGAAACAAAAAUGCAGGCAAACAACAGA